RNAcentral lists this long non-coding RNA (242 nucleotides) under Gossypium barbadense (sea-island cotton). RNAcentral describes it as "long non-coding RNA (GBAR_LNC009974)". The record is from RNAcentral. Lineage: Eukaryota; Viridiplantae; Streptophyta; Magnoliopsida; Malvales; Malvaceae.
UUAUUUAUUAUGUCCAAAUACAAUAAAUAGAGUGAUGACCAAAUAAUAAUAAGUAAUAAAGUAGUUCUAAAACGACACGACUUACACGAUUAAAAUACUGAAGGAAUGCAAAUAGAGGCAGGACCAAAUAUGAGUAGUGGAUAUAGGCAAAAGAAUCCCCCACAGGAUUCAUUUGUGGACACAGUUCCCUGUCCCAUCCACUACUUAACUAAGCCCUUCCUUCUACCACAUGCUGAUCUCCU